Molecule: transfer RNA, 75 nt
Filed under: Faecalibaculum rodentium
Lineage: Bacteria; Bacillati; Bacillota; Erysipelotrichia; Erysipelotrichales; Erysipelotrichaceae
Description: tRNA-Cys
Rfam family: tRNA
About the family: Transfer RNA (tRNA) molecules are approximately 80 nucleotides in length. Their secondary structure includes four short double-helical elements and three loops (D, anti-codon, and T loops). Further hydrogen bonds mediate the characteristic L-shaped molecular structure. tRNAs have two regions of fundamental functional importance: the anti-codon, which is responsible for specific mRNA codon recognition, and the 3' end, to which the tRNAs corresponding amino acid is attached (by aminoacyl-tRNA synthetases). tRNAs cope with the degeneracy of the genetic code in two manners: having more than one tRNA (with a specific anti-codon) for a particular amino acid; and 'wobble' base-pairing, i.e. permitting non-standard base-pairing at the 3rd anti-codon position.
Source: RNAcentral
GGUUCCGUAGCCAAGGGGCUAAGGCAAUAGACUGCAACUCUGUGACCGCCAGUUCGAAUCUGGCCGGAACCUCCA